RNAcentral lists this ribosomal RNA (274 nucleotides) under uncultured bacterium. RNAcentral describes it as "partial 16S ribosomal RNA". It matches the Rfam family "Bacterial small subunit ribosomal RNA", at positions 523 to 796 of the family's 1533-position model. The record is from RNAcentral.
AUACGGAGGGGACUAGCGUUGUUCGGAAUUACUGGGCGUAAAGAGUUCGUAGGCGGGUUGGCAAGUCAGAUGUGAAGUCCUACAGCUUAACUGGAGAACUGCAUUUGAAACUGCUAACCUAGAGUAUGGGAGGGGGAGAUGGAAUUAGUGGUGUAGGGGUAAAAUCCGUAGAUAUCACUAGGAAUACCGAAAGCGAAGGCGAUCUCCUGGAACAUAACUGACGCUAAGGCGUGAAAGCGUGGGGAGCAAACAGGAUUAGAUACCCUAGUAGUCC